AUACUGGUUGGAGGACUACUCUUAAUUCGGAAGAUGAUUCUGUACAAUAUAAACUUCUGAUAACUCAACGAGCUCAUCUAUAUAUAAAGCAAAAUGGAUUGUUUGGUGUCCCAAGAAUUUGUGGUUACUUUUUCACUGGCCAAGAUUGCCCUUCCGUGUUUUUGAGUUUAGCCUGCGUUUUCAUGGAUUUUGGGGAAUUUCAUAGAUACCAGGGGCAGAUACGUAGUCUUCUCUCCUCCUGUGUUCUUCACUUUCAUUUCAGAAAAACAAUUCUCUCUUUCAUCAAAACAAAUCUCUCCAUCCAAAUCUCUUCUUUCAUCUUCAUCACCUUUGUCGAUCGUGCUAGAUUGGGUUUCGCACUCUAUAUUUCGAAUUUAGAGUUCUGAGUUUUGAUUUGAUUGAAUAUUCAAUCAUCAUCUAACCUGUAACCCUAAAUUCGAAAUUGGGUGAAUAAAUCGAACCACCAGCACCAUCACCAUCACCAACUUCGUUCUCUUCCUUGGGGAAAUUAUAAAUUGGAUUAGUUGAUUUAAAUUGGAUUGAAUUGAUUGGAUUAUGAACUUUAAUCCAACUGGACGCAACAUCCGGAGGAAACAAGAUUUUUGCUUUACAUCUCUAAAGUGGAGCAUAGAACCAGUAUAGAGGAAGUGAUUCUAGCAUCGUAGUCCAGGAAGGUCCAUCAAAAGGAAGAACUGGACUGGAACUGGAAAUGAUACCAGAAUAUCAACUGACUGAAUCAGUGGAAGAACUAGGCUGACGGUACGGCCUAUCCAGUACCCUAAGAUAUCUGAGUCCUAGAGUUUGUUGUUUUAAACUUAUUUUUCACGGGAUUUUUUUUUGUUCCUGCUGUUCCAAUGUCCUAGGUGUCAUUUGGUUUUCCCAUGAUAGUUGAAAAAUUAAUCAACAGUGUCAUGUUCAGUGUAUUUUCUCUUUCUGAGCGGGGUAAUACAGGUUUGUGAAACCAUUGCUUUAUUGCGGGAAAUCAUUGGGCAAUUCAUUUAUCUACUGGCUCAUUAUUGUGAUAGAAUUUGAGCACCAGGAGUCCAGGAUUACAUUAGAACAAAAAAACCAUGUCUGUGCCAUUAUGUCUGCCUUGGUGCAAUUUUUAUAAAGACAACAUACAAUGUAUUGAAAUGUUACUUGAAAUCAAUAAAACCAAUUAAAU
This is a long non-coding RNA of Papaver somniferum (opium poppy), 1165 nucleotides long. RefSeq lists it as uncharacterized. The transcript is spliced from 2 exons. The record is from RefSeq and is a predicted model, not a curated record. NCBI's taxonomy places the organism in Eukaryota, Viridiplantae, Streptophyta, Magnoliopsida, Ranunculales, Papaveraceae.